Molecule: ribosomal RNA, 408 nt
Filed under: uncultured bacterium
Lineage: Bacteria
Description: partial 16S ribosomal RNA
Rfam family: Bacterial small subunit ribosomal RNA
Source: RNAcentral
GACGAACGCUGGCGGCGUGCUUAACACAUGCAAGUCGAACGAAGUGGCGAACGGGUGAGUAACGCGUAAUCAACCUGCCCUUCAGAGGGGGACAACAGUUGGAAACGACUGCUAAUCCCGCAUACUGAAGGAGGGGUUUGCGUCUGAUUAGCUAGUUGGGGGGGUAACGGCCCACCACGGCGAUGAUCAGUAGCCGGUCUGAGAGGACGAACGGCCACAUUGGGACUGAGACACGGCCCAAACUCCGACGGGAGGCAGCAGUAGGGAAUCUGCCGCAAUGGGCGCAAGCCUGACAGAGCAACGCCGCGUGUGUGAAGAAGGUUUUCGGAUCGUAAAGCUCUGUUGUAAGAGAAGCGGUAUCUUACCAGAAAGCCACGGCUAACUACGUGCCAGCAGCCGCGGUAAUAC